This is a transfer RNA of Blastomyces gilchristii SLH14081, 94 nucleotides long. It matches the Rfam family "tRNA". Rfam says of the family: Transfer RNA (tRNA) molecules are approximately 80 nucleotides in length. Their secondary structure includes four short double-helical elements and three loops (D, anti-codon, and T loops). Further hydrogen bonds mediate the characteristic L-shaped molecular structure. tRNAs have two regions of fundamental functional importance: the anti-codon, which is responsible for specific mRNA codon recognition, and the 3' end, to which the tRNAs corresponding amino acid is attached (by aminoacyl-tRNA synthetases). tRNAs cope with the degeneracy of the genetic code in two manners: having more than one tRNA (with a specific anti-codon) for a particular amino acid; and 'wobble' base-pairing, i.e. permitting non-standard base-pairing at the 3rd anti-codon position. The record is from Rfam. Lineage: Eukaryota; Fungi; Ascomycota; Eurotiomycetes; Onygenales; Ajellomycetaceae.
GCCGGGCUAGCUCAAUCGGUAGAGCGUGCGGCUCUUAUGUCAGUCACAACAGCGUGUGACCGCAAGGCUGCGGGUUCGAUCCCCGCGUUCGGCU